This 328-nucleotide unclassified non-coding RNA is filed under the name plant metagenome. RNAcentral's name for it is "partial contains 5.8S ribosomal RNA, internal transcribed spacer 2, and large subunit ribosomal RNA". The stretch from base 1 to 105 matches the Rfam family "5.8S ribosomal RNA", at positions 50 to 154 of the family's 154-position model. The record is from RNAcentral.
GAAAUGCGAUAAGUAAUGUGAAUUGCAGAAUUCCGUGAAUCAUCGAAUCUUUGAACGCACAUUGCGCCCUCUGGUAUUCCGGGGGGCAUGCCUGUCCGAGCGUCAUUGCGAACCCCUCAAGCACGGCUUGUGUGAUGGGCCCUCCCGCGUCUUGGUCGUCAAGACGGGCCCGAAAUGCAGUGGCGGCUUCGCGGUUAUCCGAUCUGCCAGAGCGUAUGGGGACUCUCUCUCUGUCACACGCCCGCGGCGCGGACCGACGCCUGUCGACCUUUACUCAUCUUUUCUCGGUUGACCUCGGAUCAGGUAGGGAUACCCGCUGAACUUAAGC